RNAcentral lists this long non-coding RNA (204 nucleotides) under Capsella rubella. Its description in RNAcentral is "long non-coding RNA (CRUB_LNC002696)". Lineage: Eukaryota; Viridiplantae; Streptophyta; Magnoliopsida; Brassicales; Brassicaceae. The record is from RNAcentral.
UGGCUCUUUGGAUUUUUGGAAUCGAUUCAUUAAUUCACAUAUAUAACAUAUUAACAUAGUAUAGUAACAAUAGCUAGGUUGAACCAAGGUUAGGUACGAGUAAAAAAUAACAUAAGUGAUUUUCUCUUCAACAAUAUUUUACAAAACGAUAUAUGGCUAUUAAAAUCUAAUAAUAAGAAAAUAUUAUAUUUUAGAAACCAAAAA